GGGGUUGUAGCUCAGUGCUAGAGCACUUGCUUCGCAUGUGUGAGGCACUGGGUUCGAUUCUCAGCACCA
Molecule: transfer RNA, 69 nt
Filed under: Ictidomys tridecemlineatus (thirteen-lined ground squirrel)
Lineage: Eukaryota; Metazoa; Chordata; Mammalia; Rodentia; Sciuridae
Description: Spermophilus tridecemlineatus (thirteen-lined ground squirrel) tRNA
Rfam family: tRNA
About the family: Transfer RNA (tRNA) molecules are approximately 80 nucleotides in length. Their secondary structure includes four short double-helical elements and three loops (D, anti-codon, and T loops).
Source: Rfam by way of RNAcentral